Non-coding RNA from Cyanistes caeruleus (blue tit), 1099 nucleotides. The record is from RefSeq and is a predicted model, not a curated record. NCBI's taxonomy places the organism in Eukaryota, Metazoa, Chordata, Aves, Passeriformes, Paridae.
CAGGUGCACCUGGGGCACCAUGCCCAUGGCUGAGGGCUCCACUGUGCUCUGGGGGCAGCUGCAACAGGCUGGAAACAGCCAGAUCCAGCUGGAACCAUCUGGAACGGGCUGGAAGUGGCCAGGGCAGCCCCAGUGUUGACUCCCCUCAGGGGCCCAGCAGCCCCUCAGCACCGUCCCCUCACCGCAUAGACCCAGCACAGGCCCUGAGGGCCACAGCAUAGGCCAAACUGGGAACUCUCACCCCACCUGUAAUAUGUGCACUUUUAAAACCUUGCACUCAUCUGACCUAGCAGUGCUGGGCAAUUCCACACUGGGCACUACUGGGACCAUUUUCCAAGGCGCCCACAGAGGGCGGGAGGUUCCCUCUCCCAACCCCUCUCCAUAACAAUAAGCAGCCCCUCAGCCCAAACCUCACUUUGUCAGAAGCUGCUCUUAAAUUUAAGUUAACACUUGCCAUCUAAUCUGAGUGUUUCUCUCACUGGUCACUAGCCACCACCAUGCUCAGAGGACGAAGAAAGCGUGAAUGUUGAUGUAGCAAGACCCAAAUGUGGCUUGCAGGGAGAAAGGGACAACAGAAAACCACUGAAGAGGAGUCAGUUGUUCACAGUGGUCUUCCACAGGGGAAAGACAUCAAAUAUUUCAGAGCAGACCAAGGAUUUUUUCCUCAAUCAGAUAAAAGUUCCCAUGAGUGUUUGGAAGGUAAUUGAAAACCAGUCUUCUAACAAAUGUGGUGACUGCCCUAACUAGAAGAGAUUCCAGUACUCAGGAAAGAGAACAGAAGCAGCUGCAAAUGGCAAGUGCAGGACGAGGCCAUGACUGGUGUCCAAGUGAUCACUGAGAUGCCCUGAGUGCACACACCCCAGUGUGGACAGGACUUGGAUCUGCUCUGAUGUUUGGACUUAUUGGACAAACUACAAAGCAACACUAAAAGCUGUCUCAAUAAAAACUGCAGGCCUGUGUUUGGCCAUACUCCACCACAACAACCUGUGCAUUGCAGAAACACACUCUCCAGAUCUCCCAUCUUGUGUUCAAAUAUGACAGUCUACUUCCUUUUGGAAUUUUUUUUCUUUUGCUUUUCCGUAAAAAUUUGAGAAUAAAA